CCUACGGGAGGCAGCAGUGAGGAAUAUUGGUCAAUGGUCGUGAGCCUGAACCAGCCAAGUAGCGUGCAGGAUGACUGCCCUACGGGUUGUAAACUUCUUUUAUAAGGGAAUAAAGUGCGGCACGUGUGCCUUUUUGUAUGUACUUUAUGAAUAAGGACCGGCUAAGUCCGUGCCAGCAGCCGCGGUAAUACGGAGGAUCCGAGCGUUAUCCGGAUUUAUUGGGUUUAAAGGGAGCGUAGAUGGGGUGUUAAGUCAGUUGGGAAAGGUUGCUGCUCAACCGUGAAAGUGCAAUUGAUACUGGCAGUCUUGAGUGCAGUUGAGGUAGGCGGAAUUCGUGGUGUAGCGGUGAAAUGCUUAGAUAUCACGAGGAACUCCGAUUGCGAAGGCAGCUUACUAAACUGCCACUGACAUUGAUGCUCGAAGGUGUGGGGAUCAAACAGGAUUAGAUACCCGAGUAGUC
RNAcentral lists this ribosomal RNA (460 nucleotides) under uncultured bacterium. RNAcentral's name for it is "partial 16S ribosomal RNA". It matches the Rfam family "Bacterial small subunit ribosomal RNA", at positions 338 to 795 of the family's 1533-position model. The record is from RNAcentral.